UGGGGAAUUUUGCACAAUGGGCGAAAGCCUGAUGCAGCAACGCCGCGUGUGUGAUGAAGGUUUUCGGAUCGUAAAGCACUUUCGACCGGAACGAACACCCUGAAGCCAAUACCUUCAGGCCUGACGGUACCGGGAGAAGAAGCACCGGCUAACUCUGUGCCAGCAGCCGCGGUAAUACAGAGGGUGCAAGCGUUGUUCGGAAUUAUUGGGCGUAAAGCGCGUGUAGGCGGCCAUGCAAGUCGGGUGUGAAAUCCCUCAGCUCAACUGAGGAAGUGCGCCCGAAACUGCAAGGCUUGAGUACCGGAGAGGAUGGCGGAAUUCCCCAAGUAGAGGUGAAAUUCGUAGAUAUGGGGAGGAACACCGGUGGCGAAGGCGGCCAUCUGGACGGAUACUGACGCUGAGACGCGAAAGCGUGGGGAGCAAACAGGAUUAGAUACCCCGGUAGUCC
This 448-nucleotide ribosomal RNA is filed under the name uncultured bacterium. RNAcentral describes it as "bacterial SSU rRNA". It matches the Rfam family "Bacterial small subunit ribosomal RNA", at positions 355 to 796 of the family's 1533-position model. The record is from RNAcentral.